This 1362-nucleotide ribosomal RNA is filed under the name uncultured bacterium. RNAcentral describes it as "bacterial SSU rRNA". It matches the Rfam family "Bacterial small subunit ribosomal RNA", at positions 28 to 1381 of the family's 1533-position model. The record is from RNAcentral.
AUUGAACGCUGGCGGCAGGCCUAACACAUGCAAGUCGAACGGUAACAGGAAGCAGCUUGCUGCUUCGCCGACGAGUGGCGGACGGGUGAGUAAUGUCUGGGAAGCUGCCUGAUGGAGGGGGAUAACUACUGGAAACGGUAGCUAAUACCGCAUAAUGUCGCAAGACCAAAGAGGGGGACCUUCGGGCCUCUUGCCAUCGGAUGUGCCCAGAUGGGAUUAGCUUGUUGGUGGGGUAACGGCUCACCAAGGCGACGAUCCCUAGCUGGUCUGAGAGGAUGACCAGCCACACUGGAACUGAGACACGGUCCAGACUCCUACGGGAGGCAGCAGUGGGGAAUAUUGCACAAUGGGCGCAAGCCUGAUGCAGCCAUGCCGCGUGUAUGAAGAAGGCCUUCGGGUUGUAAAGUACUUUCAGCGGGGAGGAAGGGAGUAAAGUUAAUACCUUUGCUCAUUGACGUUACCCGCAGAAGAAGCACCGGCUAACUCCGUGCCAGCAGCCGCGGUAAUACGGAGGGUGCAAGCGUUAAUCGGAAUUACUGGGCGUAAAGCGCACGCAGGCGGUUUGUUAAGUCAGAUGUGAAAUCCCCGGGCUCAACCUGGGAACUGCAUCUGAUACUGGCAAGCUUGAGUCUCGUAGAGGGGGGUAGAAUUCCAGGUGUAGCGGUGAAAUGCGUAGAGAUCUGGAGGAAUACCGGUGGCGAAGCGGCCCCCUGGACGAGGACUGACGCUCAGGUGCGAAAGCGUGGGGGGCAAACAGGAUUAGAUACCCUGGUAGUCCACGCCGUAAACGAUGUCGACUUGGAGGUUGUGCCCUUGAGGCGUGGCUUCCGGAGCUAACGCGUUAAGUCGACCGCCUGGGGAGUACGGCCGCAAGGUUAAAACUCAAAUGAAUUGACGGGGGCCCGCACAAGCGGUGGAGCAUGUGGUUUAAUUCGAUGCAACGCGAAGAACCUUACCUGGUCUUGACAUCCACGGAAGUUUUCAGAGAUGAGAAUGUGCCUUCGGGAACCGUGAGACAGGUGCUGCAUGGCUGUCGUCAGCUCGUGUUGUGAAAUGUUGGGUUAAGUCCCGCAACGAGCGCAACCCUUAUCCUUUGUUGCCAGCGGUCCGGCCGGGAACUCAAAGGAGACUGCCAGUGAUAAACUGGAGGAAGGUGGGGAUGACGUCAAGUCAUCAUGGCCCUUACGACCAGGGCUACACACGUGCUACAAUGGCGCAUACAAAGAGAAGCGACCUCGCGAGAGCAAGCGGACCUCAUAAAGUGCGUCGUAGUCCGGAUUGGAGUCUGCAACUCGACUCCAUGAAGUCGGAAUCGCUAGUAAUCGUGGAUCAGAAUGCCACGGUGAAUACGUUCCCGGGCCU